CUGGGCAAAUGCUGCAUUUUAUGUAGAGGAAAGUCCACGCUUACACUGUCUGUGAUGAUAGUAGUGUUUGUGCUUAGGGAAAAAAUAACCUAAGGCAAGUUUAACUUGACGGCAUCAUCUUAUCUAAGGAAAACUAUGAGAAAGAUGAUAUAAAGUGCCACAGAGACGAGUUUAUUUAGAAAUAAAUAAAAUGAAACGAGGUAAACCCCACAAGUAAGAAACUCAAAUUUUGGUAGAGGAACUAUUCUUAAGGAAUAAGAACUGAGGAAUGGAUGAAUUUCAUAGAUAAAUAUUUGCCACCCUUUUGGGUACAGAACGUGGCUUAUAA
This 328-nucleotide RNase P RNA is filed under the name human gut metagenome. RNAcentral describes it as "Bacterial RNase P class B". It matches the Rfam family "Bacterial RNase P class B". From Rfam's summary of the family: Ribonuclease P (RNase P) is a ubiquitous endoribonuclease, found in archaea, bacteria and eukarya as well as chloroplasts and mitochondria. Its best characterised activity is the generation of mature 5'-ends of tRNAs by cleaving the 5'-leader elements of precursor-tRNAs. The record is from RNAcentral.